Salvia splendens (bonfire salvia) is the source of this 293-nucleotide long non-coding RNA. RefSeq lists it as uncharacterized. The record is from RefSeq and is a predicted model, not a curated record. The transcript has 3 exons. Lineage: Eukaryota; Viridiplantae; Streptophyta; Magnoliopsida; Lamiales; Lamiaceae.
GAUUUGCGUCGAUUCCACUCCACCGCAGUUACCGCUGCCACAAAAUCGACCGGCGUUGUCGUGUUUGCACGCCAUAUUCAACAAAUCGAGCAGAUCAAAAAUGACAAAAAGAGGUCGUCCCCGCGCGCAAGCAUCGCAGGAAGCAGAGAAGCGGCUAAGAUCAGACAUUGACGAUGCAGUUGACGAUGUUAUUCCAGUUGACGAGAAUUGUGGUUUGGAGUGAGUUUUGGUUCGGCUAUAGGGAGAUCUUGGUUAAUGGGUAAACUGAUAUUCGGAUAGAUGUUUCAAUUUAA